This is a small nuclear RNA of Otolemur garnettii (small-eared galago), 107 nucleotides long. The record is from Ensembl. NCBI's taxonomy places the organism in Eukaryota, Metazoa, Chordata, Mammalia, Primates, Galagidae.
GUGCUUGCUUCAGCAGCACAUACACUAAAAUUGGAAUGAUAUAGAGAAGAUUAGCAUGGCCUUUGGGCAAGGAUGACAUGCAAAUUCAUGAAGUGUUCCAUAUUAAA